GGCAGAUAUCGGGCUUUGUUCGCUCAAAUCUAAACACAAACCAUUUCCGUAUUUGUGCAUUGAGGUGGUUUGUUUAUCUGGUUUCAGGAUAUACAGACCUCAGGAUCUAAUAGUCGUGUAGCCUACAAGGUUGAGCUGUUGGCUUUCGAAUUUUCAAUUGAAUACUACAAGCAUUGUUGUGAAGACAGGAAGAUGUGCUGAUUAAUAAUCGACGCGUGCAGUGCCAUCUGUCGAUGGAUGCGAUGCGUCGAUAACAAGGAAGAGGAAAAGAAUGCUCCACGAUCUUGCUCACUUUCGAGGCAACAAGUUUCAAGUGUCGCCCAGAAACAGCAAAGCAAUGAAUAUUAUGGAGCAGGAUACAAUCCUCCUCCUCCCUACACAGAGAAGGAAUCAAAUAGCUGAUAGUAGAAAACUGAUUCAUUUGUGUUACUGUACUGCAUUAAACUAAUUUUGUUUUAAAUUACUUUCACAGGUUUCGAUAAUUUUCAAAAAUUCUUCAAAAUGGUUUGCAAAGAAUUUCUUGCAAUGACUUAAUCUAAAAUUUUGCAAUUGAAUCUAUAGUAUUUUCGAACGAUAAAUUGUUUCAAGAAAAAUAACUUGUUUAAUUAUUCUUGCAUAAUUCAUAUAUGAAUUUUCAGUGCAUUUAUUAUUUCUUCUUUCACGUCAGUUAUUUGAAUAAACAACUAGACUUAUAUCAUCUAUUUUCACGUCUGUUUUAGAUACAUACUAAUAUGCAUCCUUUUUUACUCUUCAAUUAUGCAGUACAGUGAUACCUUCAUGAUCUCUAUAUACUUUAUAUACGAACAGUUGUCAACGAAUUUUGUAAUAUGAAUUGUGCUAGAACUACAGUUAAUGAUGGGCUUAUUGUCAAAUUGCUAAGCUGCAGAGCGAUGUGCCUUGAUAUGAAUGUCGUUCAUGAUCUCAUAUUACUCUUUUGUUGGCAGCUGUCUAUUUUUAUAGCUCUCUUGUUUUGGUGUAAAUACAAUCGAGUCUUGUGGACACUGAAAUUGACCUAUAUUU
Molecule: long non-coding RNA, 1020 nt
Organism: Styela clava
Lineage: Eukaryota; Metazoa; Chordata; Ascidiacea; Stolidobranchia; Styelidae
Source: RefSeq, a predicted model, not a curated record